RNAcentral lists this ribosomal RNA (1402 nucleotides) under uncultured bacterium. RNAcentral's name for it is "bacterial SSU rRNA". It matches the Rfam family "Bacterial small subunit ribosomal RNA". The record is from RNAcentral.
AGAGUUUGAUCCUGGCUCAGGACGAACGCUGACGGCGUGCUUUAGACAUGCAAGUCGAACGAGAAAGCCCUUCGGGGUGAGUACAGUGGCGAACGGGUGAGUAACACGUGGGCAAUCUGCCCCUCGCAGGGGGACAACCGGGGGAAACCCCGGCUAAUACCCCGUAAGCUUUCAGGGUCGCAUGGCCUUGAAAGGAAAGGUAGCUUCGGCCAUCCGGCGAGGGAUGAGCCCGCGGUGCAUUAGCUGGUUGGUGGGUAACGGCCCACCAAGGCGACGAUGCAUAGCUGGUCUGAGAGGAUGAUCAGCCACACUGGGACUGAGACACGGCCCAGACUCNUACGGGAGGCAGCAGUCGGGAAUCUUGCGCAAUGGGCGAAAGCCUGACGCAGCAACGCCGUGUGGGCGAGGAAGGCCUUCGGGUCGUAAAGCCCUGUUGUUGGGGACGAAGGGCGAAGGGUUAAUAGCCCCUAGCUUGACGGUACCCUUCGAGGAAGCCCCGGCUAACUACGUGCCAGCAGCCGCGGUAAUACGUAGGGGGCGAGCGUUGUCCGGAAUUAUUGGGCGUAAAGAGCGUGUAGGCGGUUCGGUAAGUCUGCCGUGAAAACCUGGGGCUCAACCCCGGGCGUGCGGUGGAUACUGCCGGGCUAGAGGGUGGUAGAGGCGAGUGGAAUUCCCGGUGUAGCGGUGAAAUGCGCAGAUAUCGGGAGGAACACCAGUAGCGAAGGCGGCUCGUUGGGCCAUACCUGACGUUGAGACGCGAACGCGUGGGGAGCGAACAGGAUUAGAUACCCCAGUAGUCCUAGCCGUAAACGAUGGAUACUAGGCGUAGCUUGUAUCGACCCAAGCUGUGCCGUAGCUAACGCGUUAAGUAUCCCGCCUGGGGAGUACGCGCGCAAGCGUGAAACUCAAAGGAAUUGACGGGGGCCCGCACAAGCGGUGGAGUAUGUGGUUUAAUUCGAUGCAACGCGAAGAACCUUACCAGGACUUGACAUGUCGCGAACCCUCUUGAAAGAGAGGGGUACCUUCGGGAGCGCGAACACAGGUGGUGCAUGGCUGUCGUCAGCUCGUGUCGUGAGAUGUUGGGUUAAGUCCCGCAACGAGCGCAACCCUCGUUUUUAGUUGCCAGCAUUAAGUUGGGCACUCUAGAGAGACUGCCGGUGACAAACCGGAGGAAGGUGGGGAUGACGUCAAGUCAGCAUGCCCCUUACGUUCUGGGCUACACACGUACUACAAUGCUACGGACAAAGGGCAGCAAGUUAGCGAUGACAAGCAAAUCCCAUAAACCGUGGCUCAGUUCAGAUUGCAGGCUGCAACUCGCCUGCAUGAAGGCGGAAUCGCUAGUAAUCGCAGGUCAGCAAUACUGCGGUGAAUACGUUCCCGGGCCUUGCACACACCGCCCGAA